UACGGGGGGGGCAAGCGUUGUUCGGAAUUACUGGGCGUAAAGGGCGCGUAGGCGGCCUUCUAAGUCGGACGUGAAAUCCCUCGGCUUAACCGAGGAACUGCGUCCGAUACUGAAAGGCUUGAAUCCGGGAGAGGGAUGUGGAAUUCCAGGUGUAGCGGUGAAAUGCGUAGAUAUCUGGAGGAACACCGGUGGCGAAGGCGGCAUCCUGGACUGGUCCUGACACUCAUGAGCGAAAGCGUGGGGAGCGAUCCGG
This 253-nucleotide ribosomal RNA is filed under the name uncultured bacterium. RNAcentral's name for it is "partial 16S ribosomal RNA". It matches the Rfam family "Bacterial small subunit ribosomal RNA", at positions 524 to 776 of the family's 1533-position model. The record is from RNAcentral.